CAGGCAACUCACAGAACUGCCAAAUCCUGUUAGUGAUAAGAAAAAGCAUUCAGUGAUGAAAGAAUAGUUAGCAGUUCCACUCAGCUCGCUCUAGCUCAGCUCCACGCUACUCUCUGCAGCAGCUUCACAUUGGCUCCAUGGCCGUCGACAAGCCUUCCGGUUCCCCCAAGCAACUGCAGUGAGGCUUUGAAAUAAAGGGGAAAACAGAGAGACAACAUCCAGUGCUGGUGGCAGACAGCAACUUUACCUCUUCGUUCUUCACAAAGACUGAAGCCACUUUUCAGGACCCCGAAGAGCUAGGAUUAGAAUUACAGGUGUCUGCUCUUUCCCCAAUCUGUGGCAUGCUGGGGGGCAAAACAGCACCUCGUGCUGCCAGAGAAGCAGCCAGCCUAGUGCUGAGCUUCGUCCUCAGCUCCUACACAAGGUCUUCAAAGGCCACCGCAGAACAGAACAGAGGGCAGCAGAGACGGGCCUGGAAGAGAGCCCUGAAAGAAAGUCCCCACCAGAGGGGGCUUUUGCCUAUGUGUGUGCCUGUGCUCUUCCUGGAUGCCUGGUAUCUGAGGAGUCUAGAAGAGUGCAUCAGUUUCCCUGGAACUGAAGCUACAGACGGUUGUGAACCUCCAUACAGGAAUUUACAAAUGUCACAUUUGAUGGGAAGAUACUGUGUCAUUCCAAGGGGAAAUCAGGUCUGGAAAGGGCCUUCUGGUUGGAGAACCUCAUGUGUCCUGAAACAGCUCCAAAGCAGGCCAAAUCAAACAAAACAAAGGAGAACCACCCUAUGAAGUAAGCCUGCUUUGAACUCAUCUGUAUUUCCUUUACUUUCCUGCUUUAUCAGUGAGUGACAAAAAGUCCCCCAAAGCAAGUUUAAGACCUGGAUAAGGCUGCCAGCUGAAGGAUUUUUUAACCAUCCGGGCAAAGGCAUUCAAGCUCAUUCAUGAGCACUGUAACACAUGUAUGAAUUGUAUAUUUAUGUAACUGAUGAACACAGAGCAGUCUUCCUGGAGUCAAAACAUCUGCCAAGAGUCAAACAUGAGUCAACACCAAGAGGGAGCUUGAGUCAUAGAUUUUAAACAAUUUGAUGAACAGCCCUUCUGGAAGUCUUCAGGUUUUGUUUUGUUUUUUUUUAUUUAUUCUGAGAAUUUCAGAUAUGUGUACAAUGUGUUUCAGUAUCUACCACACAAUCCCCCUUCAAUUCCUCACAACCCCCAACACAUUUCCCUCCCAACUUCACAUCCAUUCUUCAUCUUUUCAUCCCUGAGUCUAGUGCUGCCUGCUGUGUGCACCAGGCUUAUUUUUCAGUUUAAAACCCUUUUUAUUUUAUUCAUUGCAUGAGGUGAAUGUGUACGUACAUGGAGAUCAGAGGACAAUUUGUAGAGUCACUUCUCCAUUUCCACCUUUACAGAGGUUCUGGGGAAGGAACUCAAACAGCCAGGCAAACGGGGCCAAUGCUUUUUACCUGGUGAACCGUCUCUCAUUGACCACCACAAUUCUUCA
This 1494-nucleotide long non-coding RNA is filed under the name Cricetulus griseus (Chinese hamster). RNAcentral's name for it is "lncRNA (ENSCGRG00015034787.1)". The record is from RNAcentral. Lineage: Eukaryota; Metazoa; Chordata; Mammalia; Rodentia; Cricetidae.